GACGAACGCUGGCGGCGUGCUUAACACAUGCAAGUCGAACGGAAAGGCCCUGCUUUUGUGGGGUGCUCGAGUGGCGAACGGGUGAGUAACACGUGAGUAACCUGCCCUUGACUUUGGGAUAACUUCAGGAAACUGGGGCUAAUACCGGAUAGGAGCUCUUGCUGCAUGGUGGGGGUUGGAUAGUUUCGGCGGUUGGGGAUGGACUCGCGGCUUAUCAGCUUGUUGGUGGGGUAGUGGCUUACCAAGGCUUUGACGGGUAGCCGGCCUGAGAGGGUGACCGGCCACAUUGGGACUGAGAUACGGCCCAGACUCCUACGGGAGGCAGCAGUGGGGAAUAUUGCACAAUGGGCGGAAGCCUGAUGCAGCAACGCCGCGUGCGGGAUGACGGCCUUCGGGUUGUAAACCGCUUUCGCCUGUGACGAAGCGUGAGUGACGGUAAUGGGUAAAGAAGCACCGGCUAACUACGUG
This 468-nucleotide ribosomal RNA is filed under the name uncultured bacterium. RNAcentral describes it as "partial 16S ribosomal RNA". It matches the Rfam family "Bacterial small subunit ribosomal RNA", at positions 28 to 507 of the family's 1533-position model. The record is from RNAcentral.